This 623-nucleotide ribosomal RNA is filed under the name Microbacteriaceae bacterium So2Pw_1275. Its description in RNAcentral is "bacterial SSU rRNA". It matches the Rfam family "Bacterial small subunit ribosomal RNA", at positions 382 to 1010 of the family's 1533-position model. Lineage: Bacteria; Bacillati; Actinomycetota; Actinomycetes; Micrococcales; Microbacteriaceae. The record is from RNAcentral.
CCUGAUGCAGCAACGCCGCGUGAGGGAUGACGGCCUUCGGGUUGUAAACCUCUUUUAUUAGGGAAGAAGGGCUUCGGCUUGACGGUACCUGCACAAAAAGCACCGGCUAAAUACGUGCCAGCAGCCGCGGUAAUACGUAGGGUGCGAGCGUUGUCCGGAAUUAUUGGGCGUAAAGAGCUCGUAGGCGGUUUGUCACGUCUGCUGUGAAAUCCCAAGGCUCAACCUCGGGCCUGCUGUGGGUACGGACAGACUGGAAUGCGGUAGGGGAGAAUGGAAUUCCUGGUGUAUCGGUGGAAUGCGCAAAUAUCAAGAGGAACACAGAUGGCGAAGGCAGUUCACUGGGACGUAACUGACGCUGAGGAGCGAAAGCGUGGGGAGCGAACAGGAUUAGAUACCCUGGUAGUCCACGCCGUAAACGUUGGGCGCUAGAUGUGGGGACCUUUCCACGGUUUCCGUGUCGUAGCUAACGCAUUAGGCGCCCCGCCUGGGGAGUACGGCCGCAAGGCUAAAACUCAGAGGAAUUGACGGGGGCCCGCACAAGCGGCGGAGCAUGCGGAUUAAUUCGAUGCAACGCGAAGAACCUUACCAAGGCUUGACAUAACCGAAAACGCCUCAGAAAUGUG